RNAcentral lists this ribosomal RNA (325 nucleotides) under uncultured bacterium. RNAcentral describes it as "bacterial SSU rRNA". It matches the Rfam family "Bacterial small subunit ribosomal RNA", at positions 1146 to 1479 of the family's 1533-position model. The record is from RNAcentral.
AGACUGCCACCGUAAGGUGCGAGGAAGGGGGGGAUGACGUCAAAUCAGCACGGCCCUUACGUCCGGGGCGACACACGUGUUACAAUGGCAGGUACAGAGGGCAGCUACCCAGCGAUGGGGUGCGAAUCUCGAAAGCCUGUCUCAGUUCGGAUCGGAGUCUGCAACUCGACUCCGUGAAGUUGGAUUCGCUAGUAAUCGCGCAUCAGCCAUGGCGCGGUGAAUACGUUCCCGGGCCUUGUACACACCGCCCGUCAAGCCAUGGAAGCUGGGGGUGCCUGAAGUUCGUUACCGCAAGGAGCGACCUAGGGCAAAACUGGUAACUGGG